GUGACGGUGCCAUCCAUAAGAAGGACAUCCCAAAACUCUCUCACCUUCGUGCUACCACGUCGAGCUCAGGUCCUGCUAUAGAGCGUCGCCCACAGCCUGGGCUGCACAUGCUCCAUCAACUCGAGGCCAAUGCCAUGCUUCGAGAGGAGGAAGCCAUGAAAAUGCAGCAGGCCCUGUUUCAACAGCAAGAAUUCAUGGUUAAACAACAGGCAAUCCUGCAGGAGACAUUUGCUCAACUCAUAAAUAAUAUGCAGGGUUCCAUUUUGCCCGUUCUUCCUCCUCUUCCGACUCUUCCUAAUUUCAACUUUUUUUCUCAGUCGGGACAAGGCUCCAAUAACUGUGUGGUAGGUGGAUCUUCACCUGGCCAAGCAAGUCCAGUGACACCCACUACGGUUCAUGUCGCUUCGACCUCCCCGCAACAAUGAUCACUUGAGGUUUGCAUUGUGGAUGGCGUUGACGGUGGGCAUAUAUGCUGCGGUGGAGCUCACUGCAUGGUUCAUGCUUGGUGUGAACUUGGAACUCAUGAUCCUUUAAUUUGUGAACCUCUGGUUGCAUAUGUAUGUAUGUUGUUGUGAACCUUCGUUGGAUAUGUAUGCACUGUGUGGACCUGAAACUUACGGUCCUUUCGUUUGUGAUCUUUUG
This is a long non-coding RNA of Triticum aestivum (bread wheat), 642 nucleotides long. RefSeq lists it as uncharacterized. Lineage: Eukaryota; Viridiplantae; Streptophyta; Magnoliopsida; Poales; Poaceae. The record is from RefSeq and is a predicted model, not a curated record. The transcript is spliced from 4 exons.